RNAcentral lists this ribosomal RNA (252 nucleotides) under uncultured bacterium. Its description in RNAcentral is "partial 16S ribosomal RNA". It matches the Rfam family "Bacterial small subunit ribosomal RNA", at positions 524 to 776 of the family's 1533-position model. The record is from RNAcentral.
UACGGAGGAUGCGAGCGUUAUCCGGAUUUAUUGGGUUUAAAGGGUGCGUAGGCGGACUGUCAAGUCAGCGGUAAAAUUGAGAGGCUCAACCUCUUCCCGCCGUUGAAACUGGUGGUCUUGAGUGGUUGAGAAGUACGCGGAAUGCGUGGUGUAGCGGUGAAAUGCAUAGAUAUCACGCAGAACUCCGAUUGCGAAGGCAGCGUACCGGCAUCCAACUGACGCUGAGGCACGAAAGCGUGGGGAUCAAACAGG